Molecule: small nucleolar RNA, 114 nt
Organism: Cucurbita pepo subsp. pepo (vegetable marrow)
Lineage: Eukaryota; Viridiplantae; Streptophyta; Magnoliopsida; Cucurbitales; Cucurbitaceae
Product: small nucleolar RNA snoR136
Source: RefSeq, a predicted model, not a curated record
UGGUCAUGUAAUGGAGCAAAGAAAAUAAUCCAAUUUUGAGGCCCAAAGGAUGUUCUCCUUGCUAUCUAGAGUUUCACUGAACAUGAUGCCUUUAGACAUCAGAGAACCACAAUU